Molecule: ribosomal RNA, 254 nt
Filed under: uncultured prokaryote
Description: partial 16S ribosomal RNA
Rfam family: Bacterial small subunit ribosomal RNA
Source: RNAcentral
UACGGGGGGAGCAAGCGUUGUUCGGAUUUACUGGGCGUAAAGGGCGCGUAGGCGGUCAGUGCAAGUCAGUUGUGAAAUCUCCGGGCUUAACCCGGAAAGGUCAGCCGAUACUGCGGGGCUAGAGUGCAGAAGGGGCAACUGGAAUUCUCGGUGUAGCGGUGAAAUGCGUAGAUAUCGGGAGGAACACCUGUGGCGAAAGCGGCGCACUGGACCACAACUGACGCUGAGGCGCGAAAGCUAGGGGAGCAAACAGG